Long non-coding RNA from Anolis carolinensis (green anole), 866 nucleotides. RefSeq lists it as uncharacterized. NCBI's taxonomy places the organism in Eukaryota, Metazoa, Chordata, Lepidosauria, Squamata, Anolidae. The record is from RefSeq and is a predicted model, not a curated record. The transcript is spliced from 3 exons.
CUGCACUCUAAGACUUGGCUCCUCCUGUCUGCUCUGGCCAAUCCUAGGAUUCUAUAAGCUCCUCCCUCUUUCUAACCACACUCAAGAUGGCUGCCUGGCAUUCCUCUACAAAAUGAAGGCCUGCCUCACUCACUGUUACCCAGGCUUCAUUCCUGGCCUAAUAGCAGGUUAAAGAAACAGGAUCCAGAGUGCCUUUAGAGGAGUAAGGUGUUAUCCAAUUCCAAAUGGCACAAAGUGGGGAAAAGAUAGACCUCUACAGGAUGGGAGAUUGGACCAUUUCCAUACUAUAGAUUACAAUGCAUAUUCCUGUUGGCCAAGUUAAAGAGAAGAGGAAUUAUCAAACAAUUCUUUGUUCCGUUAAUGGGUUAAUAAUAUUCAGCAGUCCAUUCUUUCCCCCUCUUUCUUUUUCCUUUCCUUUUCCUUUCCUUUCUCUCUCUCUCUCUCUCUUUUUCUUUCUUUUUUGAAAAGGCUUAUUUAAAUGUUUAUCAGUUGUGCAAAGUGGAGCAUCACUAGAGAGACGCAAGGGAAAACCGAUCAUUGCCUAUGCAUGGCAGCGUUGUAGGAAGAUUAAAAUAACAUUGAGUAUAUUCUGUAAAUGAAGGAGAGAACUAAAAAAAAGCCUCCAGAGUCCAUUAUAAAUUUUAAUAAUACAUCAAGGUAAUGUAACUGAAUAACCGAUCUCUGAGGGAAGAAACACAACAUUUGGCUAAUAUUACAAUUUAAAUUACGAAAACAAAAAGAGCUUUUAGUUAAUCUUGUCUUUCUGCUUUUAUUCUUCAGGCUUUCUUAUUUAUUUAUUUUUUAUUUUUUCCCUGAUUCCAAAACACCAUGUAAACAAAUAAAAGUAUGGGAGAAAAAUAAACAGU